This is a long non-coding RNA of Marmota monax (woodchuck), 21846 nucleotides long. RefSeq lists it as uncharacterized. The record is from RefSeq and is a predicted model, not a curated record. NCBI's taxonomy places the organism in Eukaryota, Metazoa, Chordata, Mammalia, Rodentia, Sciuridae. The transcript has 2 exons.
UCUGCAAUCUGUGUAUGGGGUGAAGGUGGGAGUUCAUAACCCACUUGAAUCAAAUUGUGGAAUAUGAUAUGUCAAGAAAUUUGUAAUGUUUUGAACAACCCACAAUAAAAAAUUAAAAAUAAAAAAAAUAAAUUUGUAAGUGUGGCAUAACACUCUAGCAAUGUGUUUUUAGCUUUGUGUGCUAAUAAUACAUCAUCCAUAUAGUGAAAUAUUUGUAGUUCAGGAUUUUGAUUUCUACGUGGCUGGAUUACUUUGUUAUCAUAAAUUUGACACAUAGUUGGGCUGUUAGCCAUCCCUUGAGGGAGUACUUUCCAUUCAUAUCUCUGAUCAGGACCUUCAUCAUGCAGUGCAGGGAUAGUAAAUGCAAAACCUGGACUAUCCUCAGGAUGAAUUGGAAUUGAAAAAUAACAAUCUUUAAUAUCUAUAACUAAAACAUACCAAGUUUUUGGCAAAGCAGACAAUUGAGGAAUCCCUGAUUGAGCAGGUCCCAUAAUAACCAUCUCAUUAUUAAUGGCUCUUAAAUCUUGCAGUAAUCUCCAUUUACCAGAUUUCUUUUUGAUGACAAAAAUGGGAGUAUUAUGGGGAAAUAUGGAACGUUGUAUAUGUCCUUCUGCUAAUUGUUGUUUGACCAGGUCAUUGGCUGCUUGUAUCUUUUCUUUAGUCAGGGGCCACUGAGGAACCCAUACUGGUCUUUCUGAGUUCCAAGUAAUUUUUAUUGUCUCAGUGGCCUUUUCUGAAAAUCCAACCCAUGUCUGUCUGUUCCUUGAUCUAUUUGUAUUGGUGCUGCUAUACCUUGUUCUUGUUUCUCUAAUCUUUUUCCUUUCCUAAAACCUUGUCUAGUCAUAAUAGUGGGUGCAUUUUGGUUGAUGUUAUUUGUUAAUCUCAAACUUAAUUGAUCUAUGAUACCUCGUCCCCAUAAAUUUCCGGGAAGAUGAUCCAAUACAUAUGGCUGUAUAGUUCCUUCACAUCCUUCAGGAUCCUUCGAAUCUAAUACCAUUGCACUUCUAUGGGGAUUAGUCGCCACUCCUAGGCCUCGAAGCAUUUGAGUGGCUUGUUGUAAUGGCCAAUGUUUUGGCCAUUCUUGACGAGAGAUGAUGCUAAGUUCUGCACCUGUAUCCAGUAGCCCAUUAAAUUCAUGUCCUUGAAUAUUUAGUUUUACCAUGGGGCAAGAAUCUAAAUUUAAAGAAAUCAUAGCCCAAUCUAAACCUGUGGAGCCUAAUCCCUUGGAACCUCUUUCUACAGCACGACUGGAAAAUUUAUCAUGUAGGCUUGGUAUUAUUAGUAACUGUGCUAUUCUAUCUCCUGGUGAAAUUACUGAAAUACCCUUUGGAGAACUGGCUAUAAUUUUUAUUUCACCUUCAUAAUCAGGAUCAAUUACCCCAGGACUUAUCAUAAGUCCUUUUAGAGUAGAAGAGCUGUGUCCCAAUAAUAAGCCUACUGUUCUUUGGGAAAAGGUCCUUUUACCCCUGUGGGAAUGAUUCGAAUUCCCAUCUCUGGAGUUAGUACUGAUCUGGUGGAUGCGCAGAUGUCCAACCCUGCGCUCCCUCUGGUUUUUCUGAUGAGGGAUCUGAUGGACAAUGUGUCCUGGGUGCUACCCUGAUAGGGUUGCUGGGUUCCUCCAGUGCUCCGUAUAUUUGUGGCUUUAGGCCCUGUAGCAUUGGGCCCCCCUGUCCAUUUUUGGCAAUGGAGUCUGAUGCCUUUCUCCAUGAUAUAGUGGAUAAACACCUGGUCCUUGUUCGUUUUUUGAUAAUGGAGUACCCUCUAUGGUGGUUUGAGAACGGCAUUCAUUAGCCCAAUGUCUCCCUCUACGGCAUCGUGGGCAAAUACCCGGUAUUGUACUCCUUUGAUACCUAGUUUUGUUAAACCCUCCUCCUAUGGGGCAAUUCCUUUUAAAAUGUCCUGUUGUUCACAAUUGUAGCAUGAUCUUGGCCUGGCAUCUGAAGCCUAUUUUACUGCAGCUGCCACAAUUUGCCCUUGUUCAUUAAUGUCUCUGGAAUCUAAAGCCUGAUUUACUGCAGCUGCCACGACUUGCUCUUGUUCAUUAAUGUCUCUACAUAAUUUAAUAUAUGUGUUUAAAUCUUCAUGUUUCCAUGGUCUAAUGAUAUCUCUGCACCAACGAUUCACUUGGUCAUAAGCCAGUUGUUUUAUUAAUGGCAUUGCUUGUUCUGUAUUCCCAAAAACUCUGGUAGCUGUUUGAAUAAGCCUAUCUACAAAUUCAGCAUAAGGUUCAUUAGCUUCUUGUAUUACCUUAGAUAGUUGACCUUUGUAAACCUCCAUGCCCUUGUAAAGUCUUCCAUGCCCUAACCGCCUCUACAGCAAUUUGUGCGUAUACCCCAGGAUCAUAUGCAAUUUGUUGCUGCUUAUCCUCUUAAGGUCCCUUUCCUAACAACAUAUCUAGAUUUCUCUGAGGAUAACCAGCUGCUGCAUUUUGCCUAGCUGUCUCCUUGCAAAAUUCCUAAUUGGCAACCUUCCAUAACAGGUAUUGACCUCCAUUUAGCACAGCUUUACACAUAUUAGCCCAAUCUGCUGGCGUCAUGUUCAAGUUGUUAAUGGAUUCGACCAAGCUUACAGUGAAGGGUGCUUGAGGACCAUAGGUUGUUACAGCCUCUUUUAGCUGCUUCACUAUUUUGAAAUUUAAAACAUGGUGAAUUCGCUGCCCUCCUACCUCAAAUACAGGGCAUGUUAAUACUUGAGAUCCUGUCUCAGGAUCCGAACUAUCAACUGCAGGGGUUGGGGGCCUCCCAGCAUAUGGAGGUGGCCUUGUUAGUUGGACAUUUACGUCCUCUGGUGAUAGAAAGGUGUUAGUAGCAGUCUCCUGUAGAGGUGGUGCUGUUGGUUGGACACUUACGCCCUCUUGUGAUAGAAAGUUGUUAGUAGCAGUCUCCUUUUGUAACUUUACUCCUGAUGGCUUUUUCUGCUCUAAGCUUUCUUCCUCUAUCUUUGUCUGAACUGAAGGAUUUGGACUAAGCAAAUAAGAAACAAAUGUCCACAAUGGCAAUGUGCCAACUGGCAGAGUCCCUGGGCUGUUCUUUUCCAUUCUUUUUAAAUCUUCACCAUGAUGGUUCCAUUGUGAUGUAUUUAACAACUCCUCCUUAAAAAGCCAUGGGCUACAUUUUUGUAUUGUAUCAAUGUAUGCCCUGACUGUUGUUGAUUUUACUGAGAUGCCUCCUUCCUCUAACAAUUUACUUAACACUCUUUCAGUUUGUUUUUUACUAAUUUCUGAUCCCAUAUUUCUACUAUAAUACAACCCAACAAGAUGACCCCAAACAAAACCGAGACAAAAUGAAAUAAAAAGGGAACAACAAAAAGUCAUUAUAGCCUUUCUAUCCUCCUGACAUGUGCAUCCGUCCUUUCUCCCUAUCUGUUCCUCAGACGUAAAUGGUUUUUCCUCAGAUGUGAGUGGUUUUUCUUCCAUCUCACUCAUCUCCAGGGACAGGCAACUUAAAACAAAAGUGAAGCAAAACAAAAGAGGAAUCUUAAAAUGGCUGCCCAUCCUCUCGCCCUGCCCUCAGGGGCAAGCAGUUUACCUUAUCACUUACCCUCAGUUGCUCCCCGUGCGAGCCACCAAAUGCCGCAGUCUGGCUGAGCACAAUUCAGGAGCCACUUGUCAAAAGAAACGAACUUUAUUUUAAGAACAACACACGCCAAACAAAACCACUCCUCAGGAAAAACCCUCAGAGCCCAACUGCCACCACUGGCUUCCCACAAGCCUCUCUCUCAACCACAAGCCUCUCCACCUCCCACAAUCCUCCUGCUCUUGAGGCCGAUUGGCUGGGUCACGUGGGCGGAGCGAAAAAAGACUCCAAUGAGCAGCUCCGUGGUCUGAAAGGGCAGGGAAACAGCCCAAUGAGCAUCACCGCAGAGGAGCCAAUCAGCUAGAUGUUGCUGGGGCUGCUGUGAGCCAAUCAUCAGCUGGCAGUCUGAAAGGGCAGGGAAACAGCCCAAUGAGCAUCACUGCAGAGGAGCCAAUCAGCUAGAUGUUGCUGGGGUGCUGUGAGCCAAUCAUCAGCUGGCAGUCUGAAAGUUUGCUGGGGCCCCUUAAGCUGUGGCUCUCAACAAUCCCCAGCUGUAUUUUUAGAAAACUUAAGGGUGGCCCUGCAUUGGAUAUCUAAAAGUAUGAGUAACUGGGCAGAAAACAAUCACUUCACUGAUGUUUAACCUGGUGACCAUUUUGAGAAAUGCUUAUUAAAAUAUGUUACAAAUGUCUGGUGUAUAGUGUUUUGAUAUGAAGUGUCCUCUAAAAGUUUAUGUGUGUGACAAUGCAAGAAUGUUCAGAGGUGAAAUGAUUAGAUCAUGAGAACUAUAACCUAAUCAGUGGAUUAAUCCACUGAUAUGUAUUGACUGCAUAGUAACAAUAAGCACUCUAUUCUUUUAGAAAGCACCCUCUUCUUUAUGAUUGCUUUCCUCCUCCAUGCCCUUCCACCGUGAUGUUCUGCCUCACAUUGUGCCCAGAUGUCUAUGGACUGAGACCUCUGAAACUAUAAGCCAAAUACACUUUUCAUCCUCUCAUUGUUCUUGCCAGAUCUUUGGUCAUAAGAAGAGAAAAGCUAACUAAAAUUAUAUACACACACAUAUAGAAUGUGGUGUGUGUGUGUGUGUGUGUGUGUGUAUUUAUAUAUGGUUUAGUUUUUUUGAGAGGCUGUGAAUCAAACCUAGGUCCUUGCACAUGCUAAACAUGUGCUUUGCCCCUGAGCCACAUCUCCAUCUCUGAGCUUGUAGGUUUUCAUAUGUAAAGAAAUCUGAACCCAGACUACCUGUGGGAACAUAAGAGCAGUUAAUAAGAAACACACACACACACACACAAACACACACACACACACACACGAACACAGAACUGUUCUUUAUUGUGGCUAUGAUCUAGCACUUAUUCUAGUACCUUAUAUUAUUUCUUUUUUGUCGUUUUAUAUUUUAUUUUUGAAGAGCUUAUCAGACCAAAAAAUCAAGGAGGAAAAAGCCUCUUCUUGGAUUCAGCAUUGUGCUUCAGGGGCCCAAGUGAUUCACUGCAAUGACACUUUUCCCUUCUGGACAGUAAUAGUGAGGUGGAAGCAGGGGAUGCCAAUAUGGAUGUGACAGCAGUUCACGAUGCUGUUUGUCAUCUCUGCUUCAGACCCUCUCUCUUCUCAGAAGUGAAUAACAUAUUCUUAGUAUAUACUUAGUGACAGUGACAAACAAACAUUCCUGCUAAUUAUGUCUUAUUAAAGUAGCACCAGAACAAGUGAAGUUACAGUAAUUCUGCUGCUUCACUUAUUGAAUGGCAUAUGUUCAUUAAAGGGUUCAAAAUGUCACGUCCCAAUCUUGGGACUGGGGUGUAGCUCAGUGGAAAAAUGUUAGUCUAGCAUGCCUGAGACCCAGGUUUGAUCCCUAGAAGCUAAAAAUUAAUCCUAAUCUUAAAUAUUUUGCUAUAAUUUCUAUUUUCCUGUUAGCUAGAAUGUCUGGAAUUUAGCUGCAUUUAGUGUCACUAGGAGACCAGUACAUGGUUUCAUUUAAUAAGUAAAAUGAUUAUUUUGUAACUGGUAGACAUCAUUUUCACUUAUUUCAUUGUGAAUGAUAAAACAGGAUGUACUUACUUUGUAUUUUCUUUUUCAUUUCCUAUUUUGUUUUUCAAUUCCACAUAUACUUGAUAUAAUGAAUCUAGAGUGCCACUAUGUACUUUAUAUUGAACCCUUUCUAAGGGAUGUUUUAAAGAUCCUGUUGUAUAGUAUUCUUUGAUAAGAAAUUAUAGUAAAAGUAAUACUUUUGUGACCCCCUUCAAACAAUUAUCUCCUGUUUCCCAAACUCUUUUAAGUACUAAACUUUAUAUUCUUAGCACCCCCAAAAGACCCUGGUUUGUUAGGCCACCUCUCUGGAGUAGGUAUUGCUUAAUUACUUUUGCUUAUUGACUUUGACCAGAGGAGUUUUUUAAACUCUGCUGUUAGGAAGAAAACAUAAAGGCUAUUUGAAAGUGACACAGCAGAAUGAGAACCAUAAACAGUAUCUUACUCGUUUAUCUCAAAGGAGUAACUAGGGCAACAAGAGAAUGAGGAACAUAAGAAAAAUAGGUCUUACUUGCUGUCCAUUUGCAACCUGGUGUGUACCAGAGUAGAGGCUUUCAAAUAAAGUAAAGUAAGUCCCACUGAGACACACAAUAGCUAGUUUCCUGUUUUCAGGAUCAAUAGUUAGAAAAUGCCAAAGCUGGGAUCUGAGUCAACUCUGCUCAGACUAGUGCACUACAAUACCUCCACUUCAGGAGAUGUCUGUAUGAUGUACAAUCACAUUUUUGUACUAAUAUUUUGUAUCGUUUUUGGUCAGGGUUGGAUUUGUGUUUUUGUUUAACUGACUCUGGUCUAGGGUUAUGUUCAGUGUGUCUUAAACCAUUCUUGUCUGGUGCUGUCUUUUAUGGGGCUGCUCUGUUCUCUAUAUCAGGGUCUUUAUAACUAAUUCCAAAAAUCAUCAGUCUAUUUAUUAGUCCACAGUGACUUGAAAUCCAGGUUAUAAAUAUGCUGCUUACUGUCUUGUUGAAAGGAUGCAGCCCUCCUGCACUUUCUUCCUGUAACCUGAAGGCCUGCAGGUAUUCAGCACUCUGGGAGUAAUAUCACUGAGGGCUUUCAGGUCCUGAAUUUCUGUUUCUGAGCUCUUUUCUUGCUGUCUUUGUGGUCAACAUUCUCUUGCUUGAGGGGCUGGGGAGAUUUUUUGAAGGGACAUGCACUCCUGAACACUGGGUCAGAGCUGAAAACAAAUAGUUGUCAUACUUCUUACGAAGUAUCACGGGAAGUAUGCACUCAAAUCCCUUGUCUGGGUAAUAACAGUUCUGGUUUCUAUGCUGGAAUCAUUUUAUGUCCAAGAUUAGUGUCAAUGUUGGUUUUAAAAUAUGCAUGCCAUCCAAACUGGUUGUCUAAAAUUUUUCAAUUGAAAGUGUUUUUCUUAACUAAAUAUUUCAGCAUUUCCCCUCACAUAGACAACAAAAAAUGAGAAACUGAAACUUAUUAUGAAAAUAAACAUGUAGACAUCAUCUGAAAAAUCAAGAUUAAAUUCAAACCGAUACAGUGAAUUAUACUUUGCUUUUUUGACAGAUCUCCAAAAAUGCAUUUUGACACAUUUUGUCAGUAUAUUCCAAUUUACUAAAUAUAAUUCAAUUUAACAAUUUUUUUAAGACUGCCUGCUAUCUGCUUUGUCCUGAGCUGGAAAGCAGCAUAUGUAAAAUACAUAUAAAAUUAUUUCCCCAUUGAAAGAUUUCACAAUCUAAUUCACAUUGAUACAUGAGCAUAUUCACAUUCAUACAUGAGCGUAUUCUCGUUAGUAUGCAUGUGUGUGCAUGUGGAACAAUUAGAUAAAAUUUGUGUGUGUCAAAAUAAGAUAUUUAGACACAAAGUAUAAUGGGAAGUGACAAUAUUGAUAGCAUUUUUAGCAGUUUCUUCAAUGUAUUGGUGUUUUUCAGACUCUUUCAUAUUAGCAGUGAGGCUUUCACUUAGUUUGGAAAAAAAAUAAUAUCCUCAACAAAACAAUUUUAAACCUAUAGCUUUUUGGGUAUCUACUAUUAUUGCUUUCUUUCUCAUGUAAUAAAGGGGCAACAUGUUCCUUUAUCCUGUUCUUAUUCUGUAGUCACUGAGCUACUUUUUAAUUCCCACUGUUCUUCCUGUCUUCCUGACAGUUGCAUCUCAUUUCUUAUUUUGGUUUUCCUGACUAUAUUCCAAAAGCCCGACCUAAAGUCAAGUUAAUCAGUUUCCUGGGAAAUACAGUUUCUUUCUUAUUUUUGUCACCUGGUUCUCAGGCUUCAGGCUUAAGUUUUAAAUCACUAAUAUUUUGUAUAAUUUCAUCAUGUCCCCACUUAAGUUUUUUUUUUUUCUUUCAAAAUACGUCUUUGCAUGUUAUAAUGUUAGAAUUGUCAGCUGCCAACGUCACCAAAAUACAUUUCUUAAAAAUAUAUGUGGGGGGCUGGGGAUGUGGCUCAAGUCGUAGCGCGUUCGCCUGGCAUGUGUGCGGCACUUGGUUCGAUCCUCAGCACCACAUACAAAUAAAGAUGUUGUGUCUGUCGAAAACUAAAAAGUAAAUAUUUAAAAAUUCUCUCUCUCUCUCUCUCUCUCUCUCUCUCUCUCUCUCUCUCUCUCUCUUUAAAACAACAACAACAACAAAAAGCAUAUGUGGGGAAAGUUGAUGCAACUCUACAAAUAUAAUAUUCAGAAUGUGUGAUAUAAUAAAAACUGAAACUACAUCCUUAGCUGAAAAUUGUUGCUUUUGUGAUGAAGUCACAAAAAUUUAUCUUAUGCUAUAUUUAGUGCUUUUGAAAAGAGUAUACUUUGGAAAAAGAAUCUGAAAAUAUGCCUAGCUGGAGUAAUGGAAAAGGAGUGUGGUACAUCAUGAAUCAAUAUAAGUUUAUGUUUGAGGAAAGCAAAAUUACCAGCACAGACAAUGAAAUGUUUCAAGCACUGUAAAAUGCAUUAAGUUCCAGGAACCAGACAGUUUUGUGUAAAAUACCCUUCAGAUUCAUUUUCCUCAUGAUAAUAAACAAUGUAAAAAUGUACUAAAAUAUAGAAAAAUUAUAUUCAGAGAAGCAUAUUAAGUCAGAGAAAUGAUAGCAUCAUAAUUGUUUCCAUGAAAAUAUUCUUGGAAAAGUAAACUUGAUACAACUAGUAUGAGGCUUAAAACAGCAUAUCCAGCUAUCAGUGGCCAAUGAGAAACAACUGAAAACUUGCAUCAAAACAUUUGGAAAAAGUCUCCUAAUAAAGGUCCUAAAAGCAAACACUGAAAUCACUCUGGCAUACUUGAUUAAGAUGAGAAAUCAUAUUGUGUGACUGCUGACUGUCCAUGUAUCCUCCAUACCUCUGCUCCAGGUAAACCCCUCAAAAAAGCCUAGAGGCUUCAAUUCUUCCAUGAGGCCUGAUCUUAUACUUUAACUUAGGUUCCUUCAUGGAUUGUUCUGAGAAUUGAGUUUACAUUUUUAAAGUGCUUGAAGCAGUAAGCAAAUACUUAAACAUUGUCUAUUUUUAUGUUUUAAUAUAUCUUCCAAUUCACUGAUUGUUUCUCCAGCAUCAUUAAAUGUGUUGUUAAACUCAUUGUCUGUUUUAGACUUCAAUUAUUGAAUUUUUAAUUAGGAAACUUUAUUUUAAAAUUUAUUUCUUUUGUUAUUUGUUUUUUGUUAUAUUUUAAAAACAAAACAACUUAGAUAUUUAAACACAAUCAUUUUAUAUUCUAUGUUCACAAAAGUCCUCAAGUCUAAGAUCACUUGAAUUUAAACUCUUGACUUGAAUUUUUCUAUAUCAGCUGGAUGAAAGGAUUUAGGCUGGGAAUCUGCACAAUGACUACAUAAAUAACUCUGAUUGAGAAUUUUCAAGAAAAACUUCUUUACAUUCCUUUGUACCCAAUGGCAAAUGUUCAAGAUGUGAAUUAACUUGGGUUUACUCAAUUGAUUUUUAAAACAGUUAAUAGAGAUAUGAGAAGAAAUAUGCAUUUUUACUAUUUUUUGAAAUUUCAUAAUUAUAUUUACUUGUGCUCUUAUUUUUUGUUGAUUUCAAUUGUUCUGGUGGUAUUUGCUUUUAGCAUGAAUGAACCCCUUUAGUACUUCCUGUCAGUAUAGUCUGCUAUCAUCAAAUUACCUGUUUUUUUUUACCCCAAUAGGUCUAUAUUUUGCUUUUAUUUUUGAAAUAUAGAUUUGUUGGAUAUAUGAUUCUUGGUUGACAAUUUUUUUUCUUGUAACUCUUGGAUAUUAGCCAUUUAGCCUGCAUUGUUUCUAAAGAGAAAUCAGCUGUUUUUCUUAUUAAGUUUCUCUUGUAUGUGAUGAUUUGUUUUUCUUUUGCUUAUUUCAAGAUUUUUCUCUUUGUCUUUGGCUCUCAUCAUUUGUCCUUUUUGAGGUCCAUUUAGUUUUGGGAUGAGUAGAUUAAUGUUUUUAGAUAAAAGUUUUAGGCAUUCUUUCUGUGAGUAUUUUUUAUCCUCUUUCUAGUGCUUACAUUAUAUAUGUGUUGGUGUCCUUAAGUUCUCAUAUUUCUCUAAAUGUGUUUACUUUUUUAUUCUUUUUUUAUUUAGAUUGCAUAAUUUCUACCUAUCUAUUUUCAUGCUAAUUCCUCUCCUUUUAGUUCAACUCUUCUUUAAGCAUUUCUCAUGGAUUGUCCAUUUCAGCUAUUAUACUUUUCAACUCCAGAAUCUCUAUUUCUUCUUCCUCUUUUUUCUUAAACUUUUUGCCUCUUUAUUGAUAUUCUUCAUUUGAUGUGAUCUUGUCUUUAUUGAUUCCUUUACUUAUUUAAUCAUACUUUCCUUCAGUUCUUUGAAGAUAAAAUGACUUCCUUUAAGAAGUCAUUAUCUAUUUGAUUCAACAUCUCGUCACUCUCACAGAUAAUUUCUAUUGCCUGAUUUUCUCACCAAUAUAUAGAUUAUGCUUUUGUGUUUUUCUGCAUGUCUCACACUUUUUGUUGGAACCUGGGUAUUUUAUAUAAUGUGCUAUAGAAACGUGGCUCUGGCCACCCUGUUAUAAGGCUUAUUAUUAUUUUUCUCUAAUUUAUUCUUUUAAUAAGUGACUAUAAUAAUAUUAAAAUCUAUUCCUUGAACACAGUGCAAAGUUUCCCAUGUUGUUCUUCAAUGCCUCAGGCUUGGGUAUGUCCACAAUCAGUCUGGGAUGAUAGAGUUUUGUUGGUUCUAUUAUUUUAAAAAAUGCCCUGGGGCAUAGAUUGUUCCUUAGACUUUGCUAAACAAAUAUUGUCACUAUUGAAGAAAUAGUUUCUAAGUUCAGUAUUAGAAAGUUUGGUUUUAAAUUUUAAUUUAAUUUAAUUUUUAUUAUUUUUAACUUCAGGAGGGCUCCUCUGAGCUGUCUCUUUCUUUGGUUCUUUUAGACAAACUAGCUGGUUAACAGUAUAUCCUUUAUAUUCAAUGAAUCUGCCAAUCUUCUUCUAAUUGGUUUUUACCAUAACGUCUGGGGGUGCCCACAGGAGGCUUGAAUUUUUCCACACUCUUCUGCAAAUGAAGUCUGUUUCUUUGAGAAGAGGUUAAAAUCUAUCUGUGGAAGGCUAUUUCUUUGAGGAGAGUUUAGGAGUUAUAUUUUUUACUGUCUGCUCUCUUCUUAGGCAAUAGAAAUUGUCUGUGAGAGUGAUCAGAUUUUUAAUUGAAUUGACAAAGUCUUAAAGAAAGUCAUUAUGAAUAUCUUCAAAGAACUAAAGGAAAGUAUGACUAAGUAAGUAAAGGAAUCAAAUGACAAGAUCACAUCAAAUAAAGAAUAUCAAUAAAGAGGCAGAAAAUUUAAGAAACAAGAGGAAGAGGAGAUAGAGAUUCUGGAGUUGAAAAGUAUAAUAGCUGAAAUGGACAAUUCAUGAGAAGUGCUCAAAGAAGAGUUGAACUAAAAGUAAAGAAUUAGCAUAAAGAUAGAUAGGUAGAAAUUAUGCGAUCUAAAGAAAAACGAAUGAAAAAAGGAAAUUCAUUUAGACUUUUCAGAGUCUUCUGAACAAUAACUCUAAAAAUACAGUUUCUAUCUCUAGAAGUGAUACUGUCUUGCUUCUCUCUUGGGCUAGUUAAUAGUGGCACAAUGGAAAAGGCAAUAUAAGAAUGCAGCAGCUCCUCUGGGGACCAUGAAUUGGGAUCAGGCAAAAUGAAUUAGAGGAUUUGGGGUAUAUUCUAUAGCACUUGUCCAUGAUAAGCUUGUUGAGAAAAACAAAACACAACUCACUCUAUAUAGGCCAGUGCUAGGUUAGUUAUGUUUUCCUGCUCUUGGUUUUGGUGAAACAUAAGCAUCCAUACACUUGCUGUGAUACUAUAAAGUAGCACUUACUUUAUGUACUGAAGUCUGGAAUAAAUUAUAUUUUUAGAGUUAAGGCACACAAACAUUUAUUUUCUUAUAUUAUGAUUUCCACUCAGUAGUGUUCCACCCCUAUAAAAUUGACAACUCCCCCCAUCCAAUGAAACUUGGGUAAAUGGAUUAAAAUGCUGUCUAGCCACACUAAGAAUUUAUAAUUUUGUUCCAUCACAAUAUAGGUUUUAUGUACUAACAAUUAUGUGUAUGAGAAACCCCUAAUACUUCAAUCCCUUGUUCCAGUAUUCUGUGACCUUUCUCACUCCAUCCUCUAAAAUCUUGUUCCUUUUACUUUAGGAAAUGUUAAAUGAUUCUUUGAUUCAGAAUUGAUUUGCUCUGGUAAUCAUUCUACCAUUUCACUGGGGUUAAGUGAGUAGAAAGAUUAUAAUGAUUCCUAAAAAUGAAAAUGAAAAAAAUAAAUUGCUUGUGACUAAGAAGGAAAAAAUUGAAAAACAAUGGCUUUUGCGUAGAUGACUUAGGCAAAGGGGAAAUGCCAAUUAUCCUAUGUUGAAAGAUUACACACAAUAGUUUUAAAAGCUUUCUAUUUGCAUAAUCAUUUUGCAUUAGUGUCGGAUUGUUUAUCUCUCUUUACAUGUUCACAUUGAUAAAUUACAAAUUAUAAUUCCCAUGAUAGUGACACACAUAAAAUAUUCUCUUUCCUUCAUGUAAACACACUGUUGUAUGACUUCUUAAAAGGCGAGGAGGGUUAUUUAGAUCAUAUUGCACUUUUGAUUUUUAAUUGGAGAUAUUGCUCAUGUUUUUCUUCCAUUAUGUUUUCUUUGAGAAAAUCAAGGUGCUGUUUGGCAUACAGCAAUAUUGAAAUUAAAAAGUUAAAAAUAUCUAGUAAUUUAGAAAAAGAGCAGAAUAAAGCUCAUAUUCUUUAUGUUUUAAAUGUUUUGAGAUAUUUUUUUCAAAAUCAUAACAAUUCCAAAUAAGACAGGUAUUGUAAUAAUAGCUGAAUUUGAAAAAAGGAAAAACCACUAGCUAGGAUUAUAUUACUACUUUCAUUCUAUCAAGGAGUAUAGCCAGGUAGAAGCCAAAUCUUUUCAAAUGUCAGAUUUAAAUAAGAUUAACCAUAUUUUGUAUGCUUCUAUCACUCCCAGUUUUCAUAUACUGUACUUAUGGGGACACUUCCAGUCAAUAUCCACCUAAAUUUUUUUUAAGAAUUAUCCUCCUAGUUAGAAGUGAUUUUUUAGGAUAUGGAGAAACUUAUAGACUCUCUAAUUAUUAUAUAUCUUUCAUAGGUACUGAGAAGGCAAUGAUAUGGUGAGAGGAGAAGAAGGGCCAACAUAUACUUUUUCUCACUCUUGAUACUUCCGUAUUCAUUCAUUCAUCCAUAAUUAUUAAGCAUCAAUUGUGUUUCAAUGACUAAGGAACAUCCAGGCAAUGCAAUCAUUGUUCUCAUGGAACUCCCAGUUAGUGUGAAAGAAUACUAUGUGAAUCAGUUAUUACACUAUGGCCUGACUAAUGGCAUGAAGUGGAAUGGAAGUACAGAGGGGCAGUACAUAAGAGACCAGAGUGAGGGAGGAUGUUGGAGGGGGUAAGUUACACUUGAACUUAACAAUGAGGAAUGAGUUGUUUUUGAGUUAAAUAAAGAGAAAGGAUAUUUUAGUUAGGAGGAAUCACAUGUGCACAGGUGUGCAAAACUAAGCUCAUUGGGAGUAAUGUGUGUGCCUUUCCAUGACUAGACCUUUGGAUGCCUCUGAAGAGUGGCAGGUGAACCUGGGGAGAAACUCCUGUUAUUUGUGAAAUUACCUCUAUUGUUACAGUCUGACAAAUUACUAACAGAUACACAUCACAAAAUUCCAGGUACCUCAGCUCAUUUCACUGCUUUCCUUGGUAUUUUACUUUCUCUCCCAUGAUUACUGUCAUUUAAUUUUUUUUCAGCUCUGUGUUAAAUCACCAUCUAAUUAUGCAUCAUCACAUCAACUCAUAACAGUUGAGCAUGCCUCACUCUUAAAUUUUAAAAGCAACUCUGUUGGGUCAGGCAUACAAUGAGAGUGUUGUCACUUUUCUUGGCCUUGCUUUACUCUCUGUGUGUUUGGGAUUUUUCUACUCCAUGAUUAUUGUGGAAAUCUGCUCAGAGAGAAUGAGGGGCAGGGUGAGGGAAAGAUCUUUUGUGAUGUAGAUAAGGUGAGGAAUAAGGACUAAAACAGGAAACUGUCCCACAGUUGUUCCAUUGCCAAAGUCAGAUGCCUUUGCCUGUUUUCUUGUUACUAAUGCAUGUAUCUAAUGAAAAGGCAUUUGAGAACUGAUAGGAAGCUGGAGGGUGGAUCUUGAGUUUUAGCUAUUUUAAAUAUGAUCAAAAUGCUUUGCAAUUUGGAUUAAAAUUCUUAAUAUAUUUGUGAGUCAAUUAAUGUCUAUUUUGCCAAUUUUCAAAUGAACACAAUACCACUUAAUGUUUGAGGAUAAUAAUGUCCUAAAUUAUUGUUUGGUCUUCCUGCGUGGAAGGCAUAUAGUUUGACAUGACUUCCCAGGAAAUUUGGCUGUUUUAAAUAUGUAGUUAUGAUUGGAAUUUGAGUCUUAGAAUUGCUCUGUUGGCACUAUCUGGAAACUUCCAGGUGGUAAUUUUCCUGGUGGUAAAUUUAUUAAGUCAUGCAGAAAAGAGUAUGGAUUCCCAUGCUUUCCAUUUGGAAUGGAAAGACUAGGUUGAGUGGGACAUGCAGGUGAGCCAUUCCCCUUGGUUUCUGGGAUAUUCUGGGAACCCCAUAACUUUCUUCUUCACUUUUUAUAUAUUUUUAUUCUGGUACAUCUAUAAAUAUACUGAAGAAUUUCAAUAGGUUCAUUCAUAAUCAUAUUUUUUCCGGCAUCAUCACCAAUCCCCAUUUAUCAGCAUUGUCACAGAAAAGUGGUACAUUUUUAUUUUUAUUUAAUGAAGAAGCAGCUGCUUUAACAGAUGUUUCAUAAAUGUAGAAUGUGCCAUGAACUUCAUCAGCAAAAGAACACCUCAAUGCUCUCUGCAUAUAUAGCAACUAGCAUAAUUACUUUACUAUCUUGACCAUUUCAUUUCUUGAGAUAAAUUUAUUUAUUUAACUCUCCAAAUAAAUAAUCAAUAUAUAAUGGUAGAAUACAAAGGCACAUUUGGUUUCCUUUGAGUUUCAACUUGGGAACAAUUAUGCAAAAAAAAUAAAUAAUAAAUAAAGCACCAUAAUUUCUUGGUGCUUCUACAGACUAACUUAGUAUACAUUGUACAUACUUAAAGAUGAAGAACUGGGAACUCAGAAACUCAGCUAACUAGAAAUGGCAGAGUCAAGAUUCAAACUUCCGCUUUUGUGGCUUUUCUCAUCGCUACCUGCUGUAUCAGCCAGGAAUCAUUCCAUGAAAAUUUCCUGGUGAAUGGCCAAGAUGUGUUCCUUCAUAAUUCUCUGAAGAGAUAUGUGUUCAAGCACUUGAGAAAGUACCUCUUAAUCACGUCAGGGUAUUGACAUUGAUUAAAAAAAAUGGAACUUGAACAAAGGUAACAGAUACAGGCAUUUUAGAUGUCAUGUAUUCUUGGUCAAGUAGUAUCCAGUCAGAACACACUAGGUAAGAGGUCAAUUUUCUGUGAAGGAAAAGGAAACUAUGAUGUGCUGGUGGGGAUAACCAGGUAUGGUUAGAGGGUUCUGCAAUGUUCUAGAAUGACUUUGGUGGCACCACCUGUCCCCAUGUCUAUGAAAACAACUUCCCUCUCUAAGAGGAGUUCAUUAUGCCUAAGGUUAGUCAUUGGUUCUCAUUUCAAAAUCUCCUGAGGUGGGCUGCGGCCUCUGAAGCAAAUAUGCUAGAGGAUGGGAGAUUAGAACAUAGUUUAUGUUUCAAUUUUUGAAACUUCACCAUCUUGUUCCCAGUUGGCUUCACACAAACAACUGUUUUACUCAAACAGUCUCCAGUCUUUUACUUUCUGAAAAGGGAAGUUUUUGUUGAUGUUUCAUUUCAUUCUCUUGAAAUCAAUUAGAGAAGAAACAAAACAUGAUUUUCCCUCAAUGAGCCUUUUUCUUUCCCUGUAAGAGCUGAUUCACAUUUCUGCUGUUGCCAUGAUAAUUCCAUAGAACAAGGUAACUCACUUUUCCCAUUUACUCCUCUCACGUGUACCAUCUUUGGCCAAGUGUCUACUCAGUCAAUUUUCCUCCAAUUAUCUGUUCAUCCAUCCCUUCACUGACUCAUUAAUUCAGUCAGUCAUUGCUUAUCAUUCAACUUUCACUCUAUUUGUAUUUCAUUGAAAUCUUUUAUAAAAACACCCAUAAUUAAAGUGGCCUAUGUUUUUCAUGUGCAUGUAUUUAUUUCUUAUACUAUAAUAAUAAAAAGUAUAUUAUGAAAAAUUUACAAUGUACAAGCUCGUAGAUACCCUGAUGGUGAGAGUAUAAAUUGAUGUACACUCAUAAAAGGCAAUUUGGCAAUGCCUUUCAAAUUUAUAAUACACCUACUUUAUGACCCAGUGAAUCCAUUAGCAGUAACUCAACCUAAAUACAUAUUUACAUGUAUAGGCAAAGACAUGAAUAAAGAUGAAAAUAGAAGUGUCGUUGAGCUACAGGUAACUUAAAACUUUACCAAUAGCAGUCUGAUAAAAAUAGCUUCCUAUGUUCUUUCAAGACUAUUUUUAAGCUCAAGUAUUUCCCUAGUCUUUUUCCUUCAAUAUUAAUUCUGUGUAUUUAUUGAAAUUGACAACAGAUGACUUCUAUUUGUUAAUCAACUCUGCCCUUCCUCUUCUGGUCUAUUCUCCGCCCUCCCCCCACACACCUAUGUUUAAUUCUAGUAGUUUUACAUGGAUUUUUUUAAAAAAAAAAUCAUAUUUUAUUUAUUUAUUAUUAAUUUUAGUUAUACAUGAAAAGUAGAGUAUAUUUUGACAAAUUUAUACAAUCAUGGAGUACAUCUUAUUCUAAUUAAGAUCCCAGUCUUGUGGUUGUAUGUGAUGUGGAGAUUGAAUGUGGUGUAUUCAUAUAUGUACAUAGGAAAGUUAGGUCAGAUUUAUUCCACUUUCUUUCCUAUUCCUGCCCCUCUUCCCUUCAUUCCCCUUUGUCUAAUUCAUUGAAUUUCUAUUCUUCCCCUCCCCUUGUUAUGUGUUAGAAGCUACAACAUAUCAGAUAGAAGCUUCAACAUUUGGCUUUUGGGAUUGGCUUAUUUCACUUAAUAUAAUAGCCUCAGAUCCACCCAUUUACUGGCAAAAGCUAUUCUUAACACAAAUUCAUAUGUUCAUUUAAUAUAUAUAGUAUUGAGCACAUACUAUGUGGCAGAAAAUGUUCGAAGUGUUUCCAGAGAAAAAUAUCUUCCCUCAUAGAGCUACAUUACACAGAGGGAAAUAAAAUAUCCAUACUAAACAUAAUAAAAAAGGAAAUUAUAUAGGACAGCAGACAGAAAGUGAUUUGGAAAAAAAAUGAACUAGACAAAGAUAUUUGGAACACUGGGAAUUGUUAACAUAGAUUUCAUUGAGAAGGCAACAUUUGGACACAGAUUUAAAGGAGAAGAGAGAGUUAUGAAAGGUCAGUGGAGCUGGAUUGAAGAAUGAGGAAAGAGUAAGAGGAGAAAAAGUUAGAAAAAUCACGAAAACUAGAUUAUAUGGGGCCUUAAGGAACAUUCCAAAGAGGUUGGUUCCUACCUGAGGUGGGGAACCUUUGGUGAUUCUGAGAAGAAGAAUGAUAGAAUCUGAUUUAUGUGUUCAAGGGGGGCUGUGUUGAGAAGAGUUGGUAGGAGAAAAUACAGUUAGGAGUCAGACGCUAUUAUUUAGGUCAACGAUGGUGGCUUGAAUGAGUGUCAUAGUGAACAUGGUUAUGACAAGUAGAUAAGGUUGAGAGUAGAGCUGACCAAAGUUUUUAAACAGGUUAGAUGUGGGACUCAGAAGAGUGGAUUCAAAGAUUAUUUUCCAUCAAUACAAAUGAGGGAAAUGAGAUGGACAAGAUUGGAAGGAAGAUUCGGUGUUAAGUUUUAGAUAUAUUAAAUUUAAGAUGUGUGGUAGAUAUAUGAAGGUAUUUGCCAACAAGGUAGAUGUAUAAAUCUGGAAUUCUGAAGAGAGGUCUGGUCUGCAUAUUUAGACUGGGAAGUCACUGGCAUUUAGUGGGUAUUUGAAGCUACGAGGAUAGAUGAGAUCAUGUAAGGAGUGCAUGUAGGUUUCCCAAAAUUGAAAGGUUGGGGAGGAGACUUGAAGUUAGAAAGGAACAUGAGAAACAAUUUGUGAAGUAGAAAGAAAAGAAAGGGAGUGGAAAACUAUUGAAGAAAGUGUGUCAAGGAGGAGAAGAGAUCAACUGUGUCCAAUGCUGUUGAUAGGUCCAGCAAGCUAAGGACUAAGAAGUAGAUCCUAUGGGUCAUUAAUACCCCUUAAAAAAGUAAAAUGCUAUAUUCUUAAGUAUUAUGAAGGAAUUUUCAUUUUAAAGAAGAAUUUGAAAAAAAUAUGCUUUAGAUAAAUGUUAAAGAGAACACAUUAGCAGUGUAACUUCAGAAAAAAAUGUACCUAUUUGGAACCAAUAUAUAUUUAGACAUUUUAAAUAACAAUGCGAAGCACAAUAAUAUAGGUUACUUUACACAAUGAUUCUUUUUUAUUAUCUCAAAUUCUUUUUUUUAAUAUUUUUUAGUUGUUGAUGGACUUUUAUUUUAUUUAUUUGUAUGUGGUGCUGAGAAUUGAACCCAGUGCCUCAUGCAUGCUAGGCAAGCACACUGUCACUGAGCCACAAUGCCAGCCUCUAUUGUCUCCAAUUCUUAAUAUGAAAAGAAGACUUCAGUAAAUUGACAACCUACACUUAGACGUAUACUUUAAGUCACUCUACCUCUGUCUCUAUUUAGCCCAUUAACUUACCCCUCUAUUUUUGCAUAUACUUUCAGUAUUUGUUAUCACAUAUAUCAGCAAAUAAACAUUCUGAUUUCUAAUUUCUUAUUGAAUGGAUAGAGUACUACAAACAUAUAAGUAUUCAUAUUUUGUUCCUUUAUUAAAUGAUAUAAUCUAAAGCUUUCCACAUAGGAAUAAAAAGACUGUCUUCUUUCUUUAUGGCUAAUGUUUCAUUGAAUAGAUGACAUUAUAGUAUAUUUAAACAGUUGUAUUUUGAUGACCAUUUGGAUAUUUUUUUGAACUUCAACAUCAGAUGAUUGUAUAACUGUACAUAUUUCACACGUUCAGCAUAUGUAUAGGACAAAUUCUCUGAUUGCCUACUUGGAAUUCUUUUAAUUUUAGAUGCGUUGUCAAAUUAACCUGUAGGGGUUGUACUAGUUUGUAAUAUCAGCAAAAUAUACAAAUACCUAUUACCUUAAGCCUUAAUGUAUCAUCAAACUUUUGGACUGUUGCCAUUAUGAUAGAUGAAAAAUGAUAUCUGUGAUGGUUGAGAUUGAGUGCUUUUGUAUUAUAUUUAAGGGUAAUUUGCAUUUUUUCCUUGUGAGCCUUCUAAUUGUAUCCUUUAUAUAUUUUUUCUAUUGGAUUUUUCAUGCUUUUAUUCUGGAUAUUAAGAGUCUUUUUAUAUAUUAAGAAAUGAACCCUUGACUGUGACAUGAGUUGUAAAUAUAUAUUUUUUAGCUUCUGAUUUUAAUGUUUCUUCCAUGCAGAGGUUUAUUUUAAAUGCAGGUGUGUGCAUUUGAAUUAUAUUUUUAUUUUGUAGCUUAUAGAUUUUAAGCCACAGAUUAGUUUCAAGAUCAUAAAAGAACUUGAUAUAUUUUCUUCUAGUACAUUUCUGAUUCAUUGGCAUUUCUCCUGGUAUGUGGUAUGAAGACAAUUUGAUUUUUUCCCCAGAUGACUCAGCUUCAUUUAUUUAAAAGUUUAUCUUCCUGCCAAAGACUUGAGAUUUUAUCUUUAUUGUACAUCAAAUUUGCACGUGUUUAGAUCUAUUUUUGUACUUCCUGUUCUGUUCUAUUGAUCUGACCACAUCAUACUAUAUCACUGCUUUAAUUAUUGGGGCUUUAGUGGAAGUUUUAAUUUCUGGUCUACUAUAAUUCUCUGAUUUCAGAGUUUUUAUGUCUACCUACCAUACUUUGAAUACUUGUGGGAAUAUUUUGUACUUAUAAAAUAAAAAAAAAUAAGCUUAGAGAAUUUCUUAUUUUGUGGUUAUUUAAAUUCAUAUAGUUUUCCAUUUAUUCCCUAAGUACUCACUGAGCACCUACUGUAUGCUUAGCACAUUUGUGUGGAUUUGAGAACAUCAGCAAAGAGAAAAAAACUUCGGCUUUCUUGUACCUUUGUAGUCACACACAUUCAUCCUUAGUCUUUCAAGAUAAAGUUCUAUGUGAUUUAGUCUUCACAUCAUCUGAGAUUGCAUUGGUACAGAGCAUCAUUUUUGCCUUCUCAAUAUUUUGUAAGGAAAAAAAAUCUCCAAAACUCUGUGUAACAAUAUUUAUAAUAAAUUAUCUUGCAACCAGAAUAGUCAAGAAUAUGCAGAGUAGGAAGAAAUAAGAGUAUGCAGAAGAAAAGCAUUAUACCCAAGCAAUUUCUUGGUUUUCCAUGUACAUUCUUUGAAAUUAAGUGUCUAUUUAGGAUCAUCAAUUUCCAGUACUGUGACUACAGGGCAUUUAAGCAGUUGACAAAACCAAGAAAUGAUUGUUCCUGCACUAUGUUAAGUUUCAAAAUGUUGACUUUAGACUGCUAAUAGCAAUAAAACUAUAUUUUUUGGUUAAAAUUUAAGAUUUAUAUCAAUUCCCACAAGAUAAGAUGGGAUAUUCAGUAUCAACCUCAUCUAUGGCUGAAUAUUAACUGCCUAACAUUUGCAUGCAUCAGCAAAUUGGUUCUCAAGUUUUGCAUCUGCCUACAAUCAUCUGAAAGGCUUGCUAAACCAUAGAUUGCUGGGUUCUACCCUAGGACUGAUGGUUGAGAAAGUUGGGAAUGGGGUACAAGAAUUUCCAUCUUUAAGGGGUACAGGAGGUUGAUCAGGAGCACUUGACCACUGAGCCACUAUUUUGUAUUUUAUUAAAAAACAGGGUAUCACUGAGUUGCUUAGGACCUUGCUUUCUUUUUGCUGAGGCUGGCUUUUGACUCGCGAUCUUCCUUUGUCUAAGCCUCCUGAUCUGCUGGGAUUACAGGUAAGUACCACCACAAUGGGCUAAAGAAUUUCCAUUACUGACAUGUUCUAAGAUGAUAUUAAUAUUGCUGAUGUGGGUUCACUCUUUGAGGACCAUUGAUAUAUACUAUAAAAAUGAUUUAGCAUUUUACUUCUUCACUUUUAUUUUAUUGGAAGCAGAUACAAUUCAAUUUCAGGUUAGUAUAUAGAGACUAGAAAAAAUAUGUGGCACAUUUAGCAUACUUAAUGAAAAAUGAUUGACAUAAUGCAUAAAGAGUUUUAAUAAGCAGUGUUACCACCACAGGCUCAGUUCACUUGCUACAUAACUAAAGUCAAUUAGUUGAACAAUGCAGUGGCGUUAUUAUGAAGACCUAAUUGAUGAGAAGAUGGAGGACCAUCAUCCUAAAUGGUACGUGUUGCCAGAAAGCUGAUUUAGGGAUGGUUUCUAUAGGAGAUGGAUGAUGGCAGACUGUGGGUGGAGGUUUGUGGCUAAUUGAAGUACAAUAGAUCCUAAUAAGGUCAUGAGAUGCUUUUCAGUUCUGCAAACUUCAAGAACAAAGGUAAUUAUUUCCUUAGGUACUCUUGUCACUGAUUAAUUUGCCUAUGUUCAAUUCCUGACAUAUUAAACAAUGGACAGGCUAGAGGAGGCAGCUGCCCCAAGGCAACACUUCUCUGGAUUAUUGGGGAAGACAAGGGUCAGCAAGCAUUUUCCCACUCCACCCCAUGGCAACCUGCAGAGCAUCAGCAAGCUUGGCUGGUUUGGACCCUCUUUCCCAAGGCCUGCAGGUGACUCCAGCUGUUCCUCUUGCCAUGUGGAACUGAAGAAACUGAACUAAGUCUGGACCAAGAAAAACCAAAAAAACAAACAAAAAAAAAACCUGUCCUAUUCACUACUGAGUCAAAAUACAGCUUGAGACACGAGAUGCCAGAAGCAAAUAUUUUGAAAUAUCUGAAAGCAAAGGUUAAACAUGUUGAUAAUAACACACAAUUUGGGCUUUGCUUCCCAAUUCCAUUUUCUGAUUUAAAGAUUGUCUUGUUCUCUGUGCAAAUAUUUGUUGACUUGGAAACUGAUAGAGUUGAAAUCAACAGAGAUGAAAUAAACCUUUGUCUGUGACCUUACUCUUUGGCUUAUAUUCAUUAAAAUGAUAAAAUGGAAUGAAGUAA